Molecule: long non-coding RNA, 1049 nt
Organism: Bombus huntii
Lineage: Eukaryota; Metazoa; Arthropoda; Insecta; Hymenoptera; Apidae
Exons: 2
Source: RefSeq, a predicted model, not a curated record
AGUGAAUUAUCGUUGUCAUUCACUUAGUUAUUUCUUGACUCUUCCUACACUUAUUAAUUGAUUUUAUUUCUUCUUAUUAAAGACCGCUGUGUCAACGCUGAGUUAUUUCGUUAUAAUGUCAUUAAUUUUCUUGAUUUUUGCGGUUUUAUUUUCCAUUGGUCAACUGUAAGUCUGUUGUCGAGCAUCAAUUAUUGAUUGUUAUCGUGCUUCAUUUAGUUUAAUUGAAAUAUAAUUGUAAAUUUUUAAUAGUAUUAUUUUCUUCCAUAUAUAUUAAGGCAAUUGAGGUUAGUUUAUUCAUUCGGUUCUGCUGACAAUCGCAUACUAUGUUCUAUGGAGUGGGUCCACAACUUGUUUCUGCGGAAUUCCUGCAUGUACACUUCCUUCUACGAUGAUUAAUUGUGCACUAGGUGCUUUUAACUUUCACUGCUUUUAAUUACUUUAUUGAAUUAACAUGUUGUGUAUUUAAAUGAUGGUUAGAACACACAGAUAAUAAUUUUCCUUUUCCUUUUAGGUUUGUACUAUCUGCAUGAUUCGAUAAGCACUGUCACACUUCCUUUGGUUUAGGCACAAUAUUGUUAUAAACAUUUAGUGGUAUUAUGUUUUGUAUUGAAACAAUUGAAGUUAAUUCCUACAUUUGUUUCAGCUGGCUGUCAUACAUUAUGUUCUACGGAUAUGGACACAUAACCUGUCUUCGCACAUACACUUCCUUUUACGAUGAGCAGUUGUUCACGAGGUUACUACUAUCUGCAGUUUUCGACAAGCAGUGUUGUUCCAUAUACCACCGUACUACGCUGCCUCAUGAAAUCGUUCUGGUGGUCUGUUUCGAUUAUGUGUUAGUUUUAACUUGUUCAAGUGUAUUGUUCGUGGAAUCCCUUUUACUUCAAUCUUGACGUUUCGCGUGUGGUUUUGACAAUAGUGCCUGGUUUAUUGAAGUGUGUUAAUAUGCCUAGGUGUUAUAUAUAUUUUAUAUCUAGUUGUAUAUAAGAUAUAUUUUGCUCAUUGUCGUUUUGUAUGUCCAUAUUUGCUGUAUAUUAAAUUGCUUGAUAUUU